AGCUGGGACACCCUGUCCCACAGGGACGGCCGGUUAAGACCUAAAAUGAGGGACAACGGGUAAAAUUAGGAUUCAUCCCAGCAGAAACUGCUUCUGGCUGAAGGACUGUAAGGAUUUUUAGGUUUCAUAAUCAGAAGCUGCCACUAGAUGGCGAUAUCAGUCAAAGAGAUGCUAGUCAUUACUGUUGUCUUAUUCAUUUAAUAGCAAAGACAUGAGAGAAACCAGAGGGUCUGAAUGAGAUUAAAGCUGCUUGUGAAACUUCCUGUUUCUGUGUCAGUGCUGCAACCAUGCAGGUUUCCCAGUCCGGCCUCCCAGUCCAGCCUCCCAUUCCAGGGAAAAUACUGGCAUACUGGAAAAACAAUUAUUCGUGUACUGGGGUGCAGUAAUGUGCCUGUGAAAUUCAGCAGACAAUCAUUCUUUGAGCUGGGAGCUCCUCAAGGGAGCAGAAAGACUUCAGCAGGGUCCUGAUGGGCUGUCUCAGCCGCUGGGUCAGAACUCCCAGUGAAGAGCCUCAGCAGCUCCCUCAGACAAACGUCGUGUCUGCUUACCUGGAAGACAUCGGGUCAUCGUACAACGUGACGACAAGCAGCUGCGUCCAAGCUGACCACAUGGCCAGCAGCAGACCUGAUUUUCAUCUCGCUACAACAGGUGAUCUGGUUCUGUGCAUCUAAUCUGGAUCCAGAUAACCUGAUUAAUUCUGACGUAGGAGAACACAGAACACACUGCAGACUAAAGGAUGAUCAAAUCUUCCAGAACCAUCUUCGGCAUCACCGGGUCAGGAUUCAGUCGGGAGGGGGGUGGACUCCCUACCUCUUCCUGUGGAGUCAAGAUGUCCUCUGAGCCUCUGAAAGACAGGACUUACAUCCAGGCAACUGCUCCCUGUAAGGGAUGGGUUAAAUGUAGAGGACAAAUUUUGUUGUUGUAAUGUACAUGUGCAAUAACCAAUAAAGAUGAUGAUUAUUAUUA
Molecule: long non-coding RNA, 966 nt
Organism: Girardinichthys multiradiatus
Lineage: Eukaryota; Metazoa; Chordata; Actinopteri; Cyprinodontiformes; Goodeidae
Exons: 2
Source: RefSeq, a predicted model, not a curated record